RNAcentral lists this ribosomal RNA (458 nucleotides) under uncultured bacterium. RNAcentral's name for it is "partial 16S ribosomal RNA". It matches the Rfam family "Bacterial small subunit ribosomal RNA", at positions 29 to 507 of the family's 1533-position model. The record is from RNAcentral.
AACGAACGCUGGCGGCAUGCCUAACACAUGCAAGUCGAACGAGACCUUCGGGUCUAGUGGCGCCCGGGUGCGUAACGCGUGGGAACCUGCCCUUAGGUUCGGAAUAACUCCCCGACAGGGGUGCUAAUAACGGAUAAUGUCUUCGGACCAAAGAUUUAUCGCCUUUGGAUGGGCCCGCGUUGGAUUAGCUAGUUGGUAGGGUAAAAGCCUACCAAGGCGACGAUCCAUAGCUGGUCUGAGAGGCUGAUCAGCCACACUGGGACUGAGACACGGCCCAGACCACUACGGGAGGCAGCAGUCGGGAAUCUUCAGGGAUGGGAGAAAGGGGGAAGGAGGAACGCAGCGUGAGGGAUGAAGGUCUUAGGACCGUAAAACUCUGUUAUUAGGGAAGAACAUAUGUGUAAUUAACCGUGCACAUCUGGACGGUACCUGAUCAGAAAGCCACGGCUAACUACGUG